AGAGUUUGAUCAUGGCUCAGGAUGAACGCUGGCGGCGUGCCUAAUACAUGCAAGUCGAGCGGCAGCGCGGUCUUCGGACUGGCGGCGAGCGGCGGACGGCUGAGUAACGCGUAGGAACGUACCCCAAAGUGAGGAAUAACUGCCCGAAAGGGUGGCUAAUGCCGCAUGUGCUCUACGGAGUAAAGCUUUAUGCGCUUUGGGAACGGCCUGCGUAUGAUUAGCUUGUUGGUGAGGUAAUAGCUCACCAAGGCGAUGAUCAUUAGCUGGUCUGAGAGGAUGAUCAGCCAGACUGGGACUGAGAACGGCCCAGACUCCUACGGGAGGCAGCAGUAGGGAAUUUUCCACAAUGGGCGAAAGCCUGAUGGAGCAACGCCGCGUGCAGGAUGAAUGCCUUUGGGUUGUAAACUGCUUUUAUCUGUGACGAUUAUGACGGUAGCAGAUGAAUAAGGACCUGCUAACUACGUGCCAGCAGCCGCGGUAAUAC
This 484-nucleotide ribosomal RNA is filed under the name uncultured bacterium. RNAcentral describes it as "bacterial SSU rRNA". It matches the Rfam family "Bacterial small subunit ribosomal RNA", at positions 8 to 526 of the family's 1533-position model. The record is from RNAcentral.